This 253-nucleotide ribosomal RNA is filed under the name uncultured bacterium. RNAcentral's name for it is "partial 16S ribosomal RNA". It matches the Rfam family "Bacterial small subunit ribosomal RNA", at positions 524 to 776 of the family's 1533-position model. The record is from RNAcentral.
UACGUAGGGCGCAAGCGUUGUCCGGAUUUAUUGGGCGUAAAGAGCUCGUAGGCGGUCUGUCGCGUCGGCUGUGAAACCCCGAGGCUCAACCUCGGGCCUGCAGUCGAUACGGGCAGACUAGAGUGUGGUAGGGGAGACUGGAAUUCCUGGUGUAGCGGUGAAAUGCGCAGAUAUCAGGAGGAACACCGGUGGCGAGGGCGGGUCUCUGGGCCAUAACUGACGCUGAGGAGCGAAAGCGUGGGGAGCGAACAGG